AUGCUGGAGGUAUCAGAAGUGCGAAUGCUGACAUAAGUAACGAUAAAGCGGGUGAAAAGCCCGCUCGCCGGAAGACCAAGGGUUCCUGUCCAACGUUAAUCGGGGCAGGGUGAGUCGACCCCUAAGGCGAGGCCGAAAGGCGUAGUCGAUGGGAAACAGGUUAAUAUUCCUGUACUUGGUGUUACUGCGAAGGGGGGACGGAGAAGGCUAUGUUGGCCGGGCGACGGUUGUCCCGGUUUAAGCGUGUAGGCUGGUUUUCCAGGCAAAUCCGGAAAAUCAAGGCUGAGGCGUGAUGACGAGGCACUACGGUGCUGAAGCAACAAAUGCCCUGCUUCCAGGAAAAGCCUCUAAGCAUCAGGUAACAUCAAAUCGUACCCCAAACCGACACAGGUGGUCAGGUAGAGAAUACCAAGGCGCUUGAGAGAACUCGGGUGAAGGAACUAGGCAAAAUGGUGCCGUAACUUCGGGAGAAGGCACGCUGAUAUGUAGGUGAAGUCCCUCGCGGAUGGAGCUGAAAUCAGUCGAAGAUACCAGCUGGCUGCAACUGUUUAUUAAAAACACAGCACUGUGCAAACACGAAAGUGGACGUAUACGGUGUGACGCCUGCCCGGUGCCGGAAGGUUAAUUGAUGGGGUUAGCGCAAGCGAAGCUCUUGAUCGAAGCCCCGGUAAACGGCGGCCGUAACUAUAACGGUCCUAAGGUAGCGAAAUUCCUUGUCGGGUAAGUUCCGACCUGCACGAAUGGCGUAAUGAUGGCCAGGCUGUCUCCACCCGAGACUCAGUGAAAUUGAACUCGCUGUGAAGAUGCAGUGUACCCGCGGCAAGACGGAAAGACCCCGUGAACCUUUACUAUAGCUUGACACUGAACAUUGAGCCUUGAUGUGUAGGAUAGGUGGGAGGCUUUGAAGUGUGGACGCCAGUCUGCAUGGAGCCGACCUUGAAAUACCACCCUUUAAUGUUUGAUGUUCUAACGUGGACCCGUAAUCCGGGUUGCGGACAGUGUCUGGUGGGUAGUUUGACUGGGGCGGUCUCCUCCUAAAGAGUAACGGAGGAGCACGAAGGUUGGCUAAUCCUGGUCGGACAUCAGGAGGUUAGUGCAAUGGCAUAAGCCAGCUUGACUGCGAGCGUGACGGCGCGAGCAGGUGCGAAAGCAGGUCAUAGUGAUCCGGUGGUUCUGAAUGGAAGGGCCAUCGCUCAACGGAUAAAAGGUACUCCGGGGAUAACAGGCUGAUACCGCCCAAGAGUUCAUAUCGACGGCGGUGUUUGGCACCUCGAUGUCGGCUCAUCACAUCCUGGGGCUGAAGUAGGUCCCAAGGGUAUGGCUGUUCGCCAUUUAAAGUGGUACGCGAGCUGGGUUUAGAACGUCGUGAGACAGUUCGGUCCCUAUCUGCCGUGGGCGCUGGAGAACUGAGGGGGGCUGCUCCUAGUACGAGAGGACCGGAGUGGACGCAUCACUGGUGUUCGGGUUGUCAUGCCAAUGGCACUGCCCGGUAGCUAAAUGCGGAAGAGAUAAGUGCUGAAAGCAUCUAAGCACGAAACUUGCCCCGAGAUGAGUUCUCCCUGACUCCUUGAGAGUCCUGAAGGAACGUUGAAGACGACGACGUUGAUAGGCCGGGUGUGUAAGCGCAGCGAUGCGUUGAGCUAACCGGUACUAAUGAACCGUGAGGCUUAACCUUACAACGCCGAAGCUGUU
Molecule: ribosomal RNA, 1692 nt
Filed under: Escherichia coli
Lineage: Bacteria; Pseudomonadati; Pseudomonadota; Gammaproteobacteria; Enterobacterales; Enterobacteriaceae
Description: bacterial LSU rRNA
Rfam family: Bacterial large subunit ribosomal RNA
Source: RNAcentral